RNAcentral lists this long non-coding RNA (279 nucleotides) under Salvia miltiorrhiza (redroot sage). RNAcentral's name for it is "long non-coding RNA (SMIL_LNC008673)". The record is from RNAcentral. Lineage: Eukaryota; Viridiplantae; Streptophyta; Magnoliopsida; Lamiales; Lamiaceae.
AAGAGGAUAUAUGUGUGUAUAAUGAGUUAUAUGAUGUAUGAGAUCAUGUUUGAGUAUUUGAGUAAUUUUGAGCAUGAAAGUGAGAAGAGAAUUGAAAUGAUGCGUUUGUUGAAACGUUUUCCUUGAGAUUUGAGUCUAAGAUGUAGGAGGAGAGUCAAUUUGAGUUAUGAUGAGUAUUAAGUUGUGCUUGAAUGUUUUUUAGUGCUAUAAGUGUUUAAAAAUGAGCUUUGAUGAGUUUUCUUUGAAGGAAUGUUGAGUUGAGCAUGUUUACUUGUGUGG